UACAGAGGGUGCAAGCGUUGUUCGGAAUUACUGGGCGUAAAGCGCGUGUAGGUGGCGAUGUAAGUCGGGUGUGAAAUCCCUCAGCUUAACUGAGGAAGUGCACUCGAUACUGUGUCGCUUGAGUGUUGGAGGGGAUGGCGGAAUCCCCGGUGUAGAGGUGAAAUUCGUAGAUAUUCGGAAGAACACCAGUGGCGAAGGCGGCUCACUGGCCCGGUACUGACGCUGAUGUGCGAAAGCGUGGGGAGCAAACAGG
RNAcentral lists this ribosomal RNA (253 nucleotides) under uncultured bacterium. Its description in RNAcentral is "partial 16S ribosomal RNA". It matches the Rfam family "Bacterial small subunit ribosomal RNA", at positions 524 to 776 of the family's 1533-position model. The record is from RNAcentral.